Molecule: transfer RNA, 74 nt
Filed under: Loxodonta africana (African savanna elephant)
Lineage: Eukaryota; Metazoa; Chordata; Mammalia; Proboscidea; Elephantidae
Rfam family: tRNA
About the family: Transfer RNA (tRNA) molecules are approximately 80 nucleotides in length.
Source: Rfam by way of RNAcentral
GUCUGGGUAGUGCAAAUGGUUAACAUGCUCAGUUUCUAACUGAAAGUUUGGAGAUUCAAGUUCACCCAGAGACA